Molecule: transfer RNA, 73 nt
Filed under: Lactobacillus crispatus
Lineage: Bacteria; Bacillati; Bacillota; Bacilli; Lactobacillales; Lactobacillaceae
Description: tRNA-Asn
Rfam family: tRNA
About the family: Transfer RNA (tRNA) molecules are approximately 80 nucleotides in length. Their secondary structure includes four short double-helical elements and three loops (D, anti-codon, and T loops).
Source: RNAcentral
GUGCCCUUAGCUCAGCUGGUAGAGCGCCUGACUGUUAAUCAGGAUGUCGUAAGUUCAAGUCUUACAGGGUGCG